This 429-nucleotide ribosomal RNA is filed under the name Pseudomonadota bacterium. RNAcentral describes it as "Proteobacteria bacterium partial 16S ribosomal RNA". It matches the Rfam family "Bacterial small subunit ribosomal RNA", at positions 355 to 776 of the family's 1533-position model. Lineage: Bacteria; Pseudomonadati; Pseudomonadota. The record is from RNAcentral.
UGGGGAAUAUUGGACAAUGGGCGAAAGCCUGAUCCAGCCAUGCCGCGUGUGUGAAGAAGGUCUUCGGAUUGUAAAGCACUUUAAGUUGGGAGGAAGGGCAGUAAGCGAAUACCUUGCUGUUUUGACGUUACCGACAGAAUAAGCACCGGCUAACUCUGUGCCAGCAGCCGCGGUAAUACAGAGGGUGCGAGCGUUAAUCGGAUUUACUGGGCGUAAAGCGUGCGUAGGCGGCUGAUUAAGUCGUAUGUGAAAUCCCUGAGCUUAACUUAGGAAUUGCAUUCAAUACUGGUCAGCUAGAGUAUGGGAGAGGAUGGUAGAAUUCCAGGUGUAGCGGUGAAAUGCGGAGAGAUCUGGAGGAAUACCGAUAGCGAAGGCAGCCAUCUGGCCUAAUAAUGACGCUAAAGUACGAAAGAAUGGGGAGCAAACAGG